GAUGAACGCUGGCGGCGUGCCUAAUACAUGCAAGUCGAGCGAACGGACGAGAAGCUUGCUUCUCUGAUGUUAGCGGCGGACGGGUGAGUAACACGUGGAUAACCUACCUAUAAGACUGGGAUAACUUCGGGAAACCGGAGCUAAUACCGGAUGAUAUUUUGAACCGCAUGGUUCAAAAGUGAAAGACGGUCUUGCUGUCACUUAUAGAUGGAUCCGCGCUGCAUUAGCUAGUUGGUAAGGUAACGGCUUACCAAGGCAACGAUGCAUAGCCGACCUGAGAGGGUGAUCGGCCACACUGGAACUGAGACACGGUCCAGACUCCGACGGGAGGCAGCAGUAGGGAAUCUUCCGCAAUGGGAGAAAGCCUGACGGAGCAACGCCGCGUGAGUGAUGAAGGUCUUCGGAUCGUAAAACUCUGUUAUUAGGGAAGAACAUAUGUGUAAGUAACUGUGCACAUCUUGACGGUACCUAAUCAGAAAGCCACGGCUAACUACGUG
This 497-nucleotide ribosomal RNA is filed under the name uncultured bacterium. Its description in RNAcentral is "partial 16S ribosomal RNA". It matches the Rfam family "Bacterial small subunit ribosomal RNA", at positions 28 to 507 of the family's 1533-position model. The record is from RNAcentral.